Molecule: ribosomal RNA, 444 nt
Filed under: Anolis petersii (Peters' anole)
Lineage: Eukaryota; Metazoa; Chordata; Lepidosauria; Squamata; Anolidae
Description: partial 16S ribosomal RNA
Rfam family: Bacterial large subunit ribosomal RNA
Source: RNAcentral
CAAAGGUAGCGUAAUCACUUGUCUUAUAAAUAAAGACCCGUAUGAACGGCUAAAUGAAUAUUCGACUGUCUCAUUUAACUAAUCAGUGAAACUGAUCUUUCAGUACAAAAGCUGGAAUAAUAACAUAAGACGAGAAGACCCUGUGGAGCUUUAAAUUUUUAUCAAAACAUUCACACAAGACAUAUUUAUGACAAAAAAUUUUGAGUUGGGGCGACUUUGGAGUAAAACAGAACCUCCAAGAAAAGGCACCGCCUAAACAAGGCCAACAAGCCAAACCACUUCGACCCAGUACCGCUGAUCAACGAACCAAGUUACCCCAGGGAUAACAGCGCCAUCUUCUUCAAGAGUUCAUAUCGACAAGAAGGUUUACGACCUCGAUGUUGGAUCAGGACACCCAAAUGGUGUAGCCGCUAUUAAAGGUUCGUUUGUUCAACGAUUAACAGU